This is an RNA transcript of Arachis duranensis, 4118 nucleotides long. It is a transcript of the gene named phosphatidylinositol N-acetylglucosaminyltransferase subunit A, with no coding region annotated. Lineage: Eukaryota; Viridiplantae; Streptophyta; Magnoliopsida; Fabales; Fabaceae. The transcript has 10 exons. The record is from RefSeq and is a predicted model, not a curated record.
AGGCAACUGAGUUUGCUGCUUCUGCUGCUGAGCCGCCGCAGCUGAACGCUUCUUGGGUGAAGACGCCGGUGCCGCUGCGGCGAUUUUCUGUCAUCUAACAAAUGGAAAGUGUUUGCUGUCGCCAUUUUUGGAAAGCCGGCGCGACAUGAAGUGCGACGAAGCAGACCAGAGAGAGAAUGGCGAAGCUGGGAGUGCAACGGGGCAGACCAAAGAGAGAGUGAGAGGAAGCAGGUCAGAGAGAGAAAAGGAUCCCUGUGGUUUACCUUUUAUUUUCCUUCUUUUUUUUUAUUCCUAAAAUUUGUGAGGCUGACACCUAGAUGAAAGUUCCACAGCAAAUAUACAAGUAGGAGAGGAGAUUAAGUUAAACACCUUCAUUUUUCACCCUAGAUCUCCGCAGCCUCACCUUCUUCCUCUGCCUCCAACUGCUGCUUCUCCUCUCCAACCACUCCAAGGUUCCCUGUGUCUCCGUCGGUGAGAUUCGCCAGAGAGAUGGAUCGUGGGUUUAUUCGCUAGGAAGGCCCAAAUGAAAUAAAUUAUAUCCCCGUUGGAUGAAAAACUCUAUGAUUGGGUUGGGUCUGGGAGACACUUCACUCACAAUCUUAUUUCUCAUUCAUCUUCUAUUCUCUUCACGUGUGUUUUGUUUCUCUAAUUCUCUCAAUCAAAUUUUAGUCUCAGGCGUCUUCUCCAAUAAUCCCAACGAACAAGUGUCAAGACUGGCCUCGCAGAUUAAUCAAUGGAUAGAAAAAAGCACAGAAUCAUGAUGGUCUCUGAUUUUUUCUAUCCCAACUUUGGUGGCGUCGAGAACCACAUCUAUUAUCUCUCUCAGUGCUUACUCAAGCUAGGCCACAAGGUAGUGGUUGUAACUCAUGCGUAUGGAAACCGAUCUGGGGUUAGAUACAUGACUGGCGGUUUGAAAGUUUACUAUGUUCCGUGGAGGCCUUUUGUUAUGCAGAACUCAUUCCCAACCCUAUUUCCUUCACUCCCCAUUAUUAGAACCAUUCUCAUUCGAGAAAGAAUCACUAUUGUCCAUGGACAUCAAGCAUUUUCCACUCUAUGUCAUGAAGCUCUCAUGCAUUCUAGAACCAUGGGGUACAGGGUUGUAUUCACGGAUCAUUCUCUCUAUGGAUUUUCGGAUGCUGGAAGCAUACAUAUGAACAAGGUCUUGCAGUUCACAUUGGCUGAUGUGAGUCAGGCCAUAUGUGUUUCGCAUACGAGCAAGGAGAAUACAGUGUUACGGUCGGGGCUGCCCCCGGAGAAGGUUUUUGUUAUACCUAAUGCUGUGGACACUGCAAUGUUCAAGCCAGCGGUGGUGCAGCCGAGCCACUCGGAGAUUGUUAUUGUUGUUAUUAGCCGGUUGGUUUAUCGCAAGGGAGCAGAUUUGCUUGUUGAAGUCAUUCCAGACGUAUGCCGUCUGCAUCCCAAUGUUCGUUUCAUUGUUGGAGGUGAUGGACCUAAGCGUGUGCGGUUGGAGGAGAUGAGAGAAAAACAUUCUCUUCAAGAUCGAGUUGAAAUGUUGGGAGCUGUGCCACAUGCACAAGUCCGUUCUGUUCUAAUAUCAGGACAUAUCUUCUUAAACAGUUCCUUAACUGAAGCUUUCUGUAUAGCCAUAUUAGAGGCUGCUAGUUGUGGAUUGUUAACAGUUAGCACACGUGUUGGAGGAGUUCCCGAAGUUUUACCAGAUGACAUGAUCAUUUUGGCAGAACCUGAUCCUGGUGAUAUGGUGCUUGCAAUUGAAAGGGCAAUAUCAAUGCUGCCAAAAGUUGAUCCACAAGUCAUGCACAACCGGAUGAGGGAACUCUAUAACUGGCAUGAUGUUGCCAAAAGGACUGAAAUUGUAUAUGAUCGUGCUUUGAAGUGCCCCAAUCAAAAUCUACUUGAACGGCUCUCACGAUACCUUUAUUGCGGAGUGUGGGCAGGCAAGCUGUUUUUCCUGGUUAUGAUAGUUGAUUUUUUGUUUUGGCGGCUAUUGGAACUAUGGCAGCCUGCAGAGGACAUUGAGGAGAUUCCAGAUUUAACUCUUCCACACAUCUCCAACAAAGAGACAUUGCAAGAAACCGAAUGAAAUGCGUAUUGUGAUACUGAAUUUUCAUUACUGUCUAGUAUGCAAUGCAGAAUACAAAGAGGAUAUUUUAUUGUACAGUUGGCUUCAUUGCAUCGCUGGACUAGGCAGCUUCUGCACCAGAAAUCAGAGGCAUGAAGCAUGUGGAUUGCUAUUUAGAUUGUAGUGAGCCAAGUUCACCAUUAACACACAAAGCCUCUUCUUCUUUCUCUUUGGAUUGUCGCUGCACCGCGGCUCUGUUCCGCCAUCCGCCUUUCCUCUUAGGGUACCAACGCUCUAGAAAAGUGUUGAUAGCUUUGUGGCAUCGGAAAAUGAGACUUGGAGGGAGAGAAUGAGGGUGUCAAAAUUCUCCAAAGCACAGAAUCUCCGUGGGGACUGUCCCGAAUGGAGAGCCAAAGGCGGGGAAUUUUUUCGGUAGGGAUGAGGAUGGGGACUAAAAUCCCUCAGGUAGCGUUUGGUGGAGAGAUAGAUACUGAAAGACUGAGACUGAGAGACAGAGACUAAGAGACAGAGACUGAAAUAAGUUUUAGUAUUCUAUUUGGUGUCAAGUGAGAGACAAAAAUUGAAACAAGAAUAAAACUCUAAUUUAAUUUGCACAAAGGAUAAAAUUGGAAUUAAUUAAUUAAAAUGAGAGUAUUUUAGGUAUAAAAUAUUAUUAAAGUUUCAGUCUCUGUUUCUAAAAAUAUCAGUCCCUUGUGUCCCUACAUUUUGGAGGUACUGAAAUACUGAAAUUUUGGGACAGAGACAGAAACUUUAGUACUAGUCUCUGAGCCAACAAACAUGAUACUAUGUCUCAGUCUCUCAGUCUCUGUCCCAGUACUGCAAAACAAACGCUACCUCAGAGACAGGCGCGGAGACUCGAGUGGGGAUCUCCGUCUCGUCCCAGAUAAUUCUCCAAAUUCUUAAAUUUUACUUAAAUACCCUUAAUUUGUUUUUAAUAUAGGAGUUUUUUAGUAAUUUCACUUAUUGAAAACCCUAACCCUACCUUAUUGAAUGUCUUCCCUUCUCUCUUACUACUCCACUUAGCACCGUCCCCAAGUCCCAACUCUCCAGAAAAGUUCAAAACUCCCAUAGCUGUCACAGCCAUAGCACCAAACCGUCCUUGCGAAUCGCCACCGACCACUCCUCUUGCUCAAUGCUUACCGUUACUGCACCAUCACCCUCACAGCUUCACCGCGUUAUUCUCUCUCUUCAGUCACGGUGUCCUUCCCCUCUCCACUCUUGUGUCUGAGUGAUUGCGUCCAUUCUCGUUACUGUCGCCGCAUCCAUUCUCCCCUCUCCGCCGUCGCAUUCCACUCUCCGCCCUCUCUUCGCUGCUCGUCGUCUACUGGAGAGCAUCGCCGCUGACGUUGUAGCAGCCACCGGUUGCCCCUCUUCCAAUCCUCUUCCUCCUCCCCAUUCACUUGACUUCAGGUUUGAUUCUCUAUCCUUCUAUGUAUCUGAAGCAAUUAGACAUAUAGGGUUUAUAAUUAUGAAGUUAGGGUUUCAUACUCCUCCUUUGUAAUCAGUUAUGUAUUUUCUGAAUUUUGAAUAUUGUGAGGCAGUGUCUGACUUAUUUGGUGUCGAGGUGCCAUCAUCUAAAUUCUCGUGAGGAGGUUGGGGUGGUACCUGCAAGAGAUUCCAAUGCUUAAGUCAACAAGGACUUUAGAUAGGUUUGUUUUUUUUUAGAUCAAAACGUAAAUUAUAGUUCAGGAGUGUCAUUGUAUUUAUAGUAGAAUGUUAACCACCUUUGUUGGAAAAGUUCUACCUUUAUGGGUAGAUGAUCGUUCCCUUUAUCUUGGGUGUUGUUAAGACCUAUCUUUUAGAGAAGAUAAAGAUAGUAAAAAAGAUUUGCGGAGGCAGUUUCUUGCUUGAACAAGAAGAGUUGGGCUCUUUUCAUGGUGUCCGACCUCCUUAAAGAGGUCGGGUAUGGGUUGGAGGCCCCCUCUGUGUGAGUCGGACCUUUUCUCCUUAUUGGGCCUGUCUUUUAUCCAUUGGGUCAGAGUAUGAACAAUAACAAUAAUAUUGAGGCACCAGGAUUGUCCACUAGUAUUCAACCAUCUUUUCUAUUGUCAAAUGU